CUGAAUUUGAAAAACAAUUCGAUUACUAACUGCCACUCACUAAGGAGUUUUAAAUAUUUACAAAUAUUUGUAUAUGUAAUGAAGUAUGCAGACACGUUAUGACAAUAACUGAAUAGAUUACAAGGUUUUUAAUGCCAAUCUGCGCGUUGAGAAAUGUUUGCAAAAAAUGAUCUUAUACUAUAGAAAAUAUUCAAAUGUAAUUAACGAACAUCGCUACCCGCUAGUACAUUUGUGACGGUUCGAAGUUUAUCGAAAUGUAA
Long non-coding RNA from Aphis gossypii (cotton aphid), 260 nucleotides. RefSeq lists it as uncharacterized. Lineage: Eukaryota; Metazoa; Arthropoda; Insecta; Hemiptera; Aphididae. The transcript has 3 exons. The record is from RefSeq and is a predicted model, not a curated record.